UACGUAGGGGGCAAGCGUUGUCCGGAUUUAUUGGGCGUAAAGAGCGUGUAGGCGGCCAGACAGGUCAGCUGUGAAAACUCGAGGCUCAACCUCGAGACGUCGGUUGAAACCGUCUGGCUAGAGUCCGGAAGAGGAGAGUGGAAUUCCCGGUGUAGCGGUGAAAUGCGCAGAUAUCGGGAAGAACACCCGUGGCGAAGGCGGCUCUCUGGGACGGUACUGACGCUGAUGCGCGAAAGCGUGGGGAGCGAUCCGG
This 253-nucleotide ribosomal RNA is filed under the name uncultured bacterium. RNAcentral describes it as "partial 16S ribosomal RNA". It matches the Rfam family "Bacterial small subunit ribosomal RNA", at positions 524 to 776 of the family's 1533-position model. The record is from RNAcentral.